UUAAAAGAAUCCAAUUUAUGGAGAGAUUAUUUUAUCCUUAUCACUCAUUAGGCACAACAAGAAAAUGGAGGCUAAACGAAAAUCAAUUUCAUCCACACUUAGACUACUUGAAGUUGGUAAUGAAAAACUUAACUUAGUGUAUGUUCAACCCUACCUUAAGAAAGGAGAAUAUGACAACAAGUACCUUAGCCAUCUUGGCCUUGACUUAUGAGAAUCCUAGUAAG
RNAcentral lists this long non-coding RNA (224 nucleotides) under Carica papaya (papaya). RNAcentral describes it as "long non-coding RNA (CPAP_LNC006425)". Lineage: Eukaryota; Viridiplantae; Streptophyta; Magnoliopsida; Brassicales; Caricaceae. The record is from RNAcentral.